RNAcentral lists this ribosomal RNA (344 nucleotides) under uncultured Pseudomonadota bacterium. RNAcentral describes it as "bacterial SSU rRNA". It matches the Rfam family "Bacterial small subunit ribosomal RNA", at positions 29 to 351 of the family's 1533-position model. The record is from RNAcentral. Lineage: Bacteria; Pseudomonadati; Pseudomonadota.
AACGAACGCUGGCGGCGGGCUUAACACAUGCAAGUCGCACGAGAAAGCUCUUGCUUGCAGGAGCGAGUAAAGUGGCGCACGGGUGAGUAACGCGUGGCUAAUCUACCUUUGGGUUUGGGAUAACGUCUCGAAAGGGGCGCUAAUACCGGAUAAGACCACGGUGUCCACGGGCACUGGGGGUAAAAGUGGGCCUCUACAUGUAAGCUCAUGCCUGAAGAUGAGGCCGCGUCCCAUUAGCUUGUUGGUGAGGUAACGGCUCACCAAGGCCGCGAUGGGUAGCUGAUCUGAGAGGAUGAUCAGCCACACUGGGACUGGAACACGGCCCAGACUCCUACGGGUGGCUG